CCCGAGGAGGGGCCUGCAGCCGCCAAGACCGAACCUAGCAGCAGUACCACCAUGUAUAUUACAAGCACCGACGCCUCCGUUAGUGCCUGACGACCUCGGUGAUGAGGAGCCAGCGCAGGUUUGUCUGGGGAAAUACCCAACCCACCUGUACUGUGGGAGAACAUUUGCAUUUUUAGCGCGUGGUUCAAAGGCAGAGGGUGACUGGAAUAUUCCUGCAAGGCAGAUGCAGUUUGAUGAGUUAUGUAAGAAAUACAAGCACACGGACACCCCCGCUCCAAGCAAACGGCAAAGAGUAGUGAGUAGUAAUCUGAAAGAAUAUGUGGUGGAAACAACAAUGGGCCAGCAAGAAGAGGAUAAUGAGAGGGAGUGCAAAAUGCUGUUUUUUUAGCACUCUGGAUGCUGUACUGGGAGAAAUGUCAGCGAGAUUUAACGAACGAAACAGCCAACUUGUUGAGGCCCUGUGUGCCUUGCACCCAGAGAAUGAAACCUUCAUGGAUGUGGAAAAAGUGAAACCCGUGCCUCUAACAGCAAUGUCUACUGUGAUGAUGGCAUUGAAACUGGGAUUAUCAUUUGGAGCAUCCACGGCAAUUUGCGAGAACUCUUUUUCAACAUUGAAAAACGUGUUCAGUGAGCACAGACGGAGCAUGUUGCACAGGAGGAAAGCGCAACUGAUUAAACUGGCAUUUGAGAGGGAUCUUACAAGCAAAUUCCGUGGGGAGUGGAACGAGAGACUGCUGAGGAGGUUCAACACAGCAUCAAGGCGGCUACAACUCUUUUGAAUCUGGGAUACAAGGAUGGAAGACAUGUCAGAAACUCAACUCAAUCAAGGCCAGCUGUCACCCAGCAAAUACAAACUGGAAUAAAGCUGGGGUCCUACCUGGUGUCAAACAGUAAGCCCUCAUGGAUGGUAGGGCUUUCUGCUUCAGAUUAAGGAAGAGCAGCUCUGAGAUCUGAGAUCCCCAAACAAGAGAUGACUAUCUGGCUGUAAAUACUUAUUUGGAGCUCUAUACUGCCUUUCCCAAAAGUUAUUUUGUUGCAUCUGAAAUUGUUAUUUUGGGCAAUAAAUCUUGAUUACUUUGA
Coregonus clupeaformis (lake whitefish) is the source of this 1080-nucleotide long non-coding RNA. RefSeq lists it as uncharacterized. The record is from RefSeq and is a predicted model, not a curated record. Lineage: Eukaryota; Metazoa; Chordata; Actinopteri; Salmoniformes; Salmonidae. The transcript has 4 exons.